Molecule: ribosomal RNA, 1031 nt
Filed under: uncultured bacterium
Lineage: Bacteria
Description: bacterial SSU rRNA
Rfam family: Bacterial small subunit ribosomal RNA
Source: RNAcentral
GAGUUUGAUCCUGGCUCAGAUUGAACGCUGGCGGUAGGCUUAACACAUGCAAGUCGUGCGAGAAAGUAUCUUCGGAUAUGAGUAGAGCGGCGGACGGGUGAGUAACGCGUAGGAAUCUACCUAGUAGAAGGGGAUAGCCCGGGGAAACCCGGAUUAAUACCGUAUACCUCCUUCGGGAGAAAGAAGGCCUCUCUUUGAAGCUUUCGCUAUUAGAUGAGCCUGCGUAAGAUUAGCUUGUUGGUGAGGUAAAGGCUCACCAAGGCGACGAUCUUUAGCUGGUCUGAGAGGACGAUCAGCCACAUUGGGACUGAGACACGGCCCAGACUCCUACGGGAGGCAGCAGUGGGGAAUAUUGGACAAUGGGCGAAAGCCUGAUCCAGCCAUACCGCGUGUGUGAAGAAGGCCUUCGGGUUGUAAAGCACUUUAAGCAGGGAGAAAAAGUUAUAAGUUAAUACCUUAUAACCGUGAUGUUACCUGCAGAAUAAGCACCGGCUAAUUCCGUGCCAGCAGCCGCGGUAAUACGGAAGGUGCAAGCGUUAAUCGGAAUUACUGGGCGUAAAGCGCGCGUAGGUGGUUUGUUAAGUUGGAUGUGAAAGCCCUGGGCUCAACCUAGGAGCUGCAUCCAAAACUAACUCACUAGAGUACGAUAGAGGGAGGUAGAAUUCAUAGUGUAGCGGUGGAAUGCGUAGAUAUUAUGAAGAAUACCAGUGGCGAAGGCGGCCUCCUGGAUCUGUACUGACACUGAGUGCGAAAGCGUGGGUAGCGAACAGGAUUAGAUACCCUGGUAGUCCACGCCGUAAACGAUGACAACUAGCUGUUGGAAGACAAUGUUUUUCAGUGGCGCAGCUAACGUUUUAAGUUGUCCGCCUGGGGAGUACGGCCGCAAGGCUAAAACUCAAAUGAAUUGACGGGGACCCGCACAAGCGGUGGAGCAUGUGGNUUAACUCGAUGCAACGCGAAAAACCUUACUACUCUGACAUACUUGGGAGCUNNGUAAUGAGNAGUNGUGCCUUUUGGGAACCAAGAAUACA